GAACGGAGGAUACAAAUUCUGGAAAUGAAGUUCCUUCUCCCCCACCUCAAGGCAAGACUAAUUAGAGACUGUAGGGGAGAAACUGCUCCGACAUCACAAUAUAAGUUGACAUCUGAAGAUUCUAUCAAGGACCAUCUGGCUUCAGAGGCAGCCCUGGAGUAUUUAUUCAAACACUAGCAGCUGGAUACAUACCUGAGAAGUUUAUUAUGCAGAAGCAACAGCAAACUCCAGACUUCCACUCCGUGACCUUUUAAGAUCUAAAUGACCUGGGAGCCAGGAUAUCUCCACAACUGCUGCCUCCUAUAUAAGCCUACCUGAAAUUUUGAUUCUGCUUCAGAGACCCUCCUCCAUGUCCUCUUACUACCGUGAGGUGGAACAGUCUCUCCAGGGCGGCAUAUCUGGCCCCAUCACUGGCUGUCUUUUAAUGGGCAUCAGAGGCUGUUGUAUACAGUAUGCUAUUUUGUUCAGAUUGCUUUUUAUACUGUUUUAAAUGGCUUCUAUUUGUAACAGUACUAUUGGCUAGAUUUGUGAUUGUUCUGUUGUAUCAUUGUGAGCAUUUAUGCACAAUACAUUUGUGUAUACAUACAAUACAUACAUUUUUGUACUCCCUACAAGUAGAAAACUAGACUGCCUCAGAGAUGGUAAGGUGAGAGUCCUUUUCCGGGACAUCUAGUUUUCCAUGUGCCAGAUUUCUCACCCACACGGCAAACACACACACACGUGCAAAUAUGUCAUAUCUGCCACUGCUUACAGUCUGAAGUUCAGGAACUGUUGUGCAAUGUGCUGAGCUGUUUGUCUAAAGAGCCUCCUAGUGGGAGCACUCCAAUGACAUAAAACACUAACAUAAAAGCAGUCUCACAAUGAUAAUAUGCUCAUGGCAUUACUGUUCUAUUAAUGUUUCUAGCCUGUAAAGCUGUGUUUGCACAAGAGAAGCACAGUUAAUGUGUUCUAUAGAUGUCAAGGAUUAUCUGUCGUCAAUAUUUUGAAAGCUCCUUUGAGGGAUUAAUCACUUAACAACUGAGGCAAAUUGAUCUCUGCCCAUCUAAGAUGGAAAGCAUUUUUGAGUGAAUGCUAUGAAAAUAUUGUAACAAGAUAAAAAGGUCAUGAAAAAGUCCAUUCCCUUUGUGUGUAGAAGAAGAUGGGAAGCCAGCUGAUCAAGAAGUGGCUUUGAGUGAUCUGAAGGACUGGGAAAAGAGGGAUUGGCCAAUCCAAUGUACGUCCCUUCUCCUGGCCGCCACUCCCCUCUUAUCACAGCACCAGUGGGGAGCUCUUCCCUUCCAUGGCACCAUGCCUAAGCAGUGAGAAAGACAAUGGAGAAUAAGCUGGGUUUGCUCACUUCUCAAGUCACCUCUUGUUCUCUUACCAAGGAAUGACUCAAAGCUUAUUUACAGAAGAAGAAAAAUUAGUCAUUUCAUCACAAAUAUGUGGAUGUCUUGGCAAACACUCUCCCUGCUUUCUUCUUCAUUAAUAAUAUGAGCUAGACAUGUCGUUUGAAACUGUUUAGGUAAGCAUCUUGAAUUUCAACUUCCAGAGCCAGUUUUUCAGAGGUGAAAAUGCCACCAGAUAGAAUUAGGAAGCCACCCCGAGCAAAUUUUUUCUCUCUGAAAUGAUGUUAUGAAAAAGGGAAGUGUGGUGGGUGGGGGUGGAAGCCCCUAAGACCGAUUUAGUUGGUUCCACCUGGUCACGGGAAGAGACAAUGGCAGAAAAUUCCCGUGGACAACAUUUAGAGCAAGGCAUGGCAUGGGGAAGAUGCAGCGGGACCGUGUCCAAUCAGCAGAGCAGUGCCAGGCCUGAGGAAGCUGCUUUGUUGAGACCAUAGCCUGAGUGGCUGCUAAAGUAGAAGCAGCAGUGGUCUUGUUGGCCAGCAGGUGAUGGCAGCAGCUAAUACCAUUUCUGUUAUUCCAAGUCUGGGAGGGAGGCAGAGGCACAGCGCUACACAUGUUAGGAAGGAAGGGGUCUCUUCUUCUGUUGCCUCUUGGGAAAGAAAUGGGGUAAGCGACACAGAGUGGGUGGCUCACACCUCCCAGCCUCAGUCCCCUUCACAUGGGGGGGGGCAUUUUUCACAAGAAACUGCUUUGUUUCCAGCCUUUGGCACUGGGGCAGCCAUAGCCUGAGACAGUGGGAGCCUUCCCAUCCAAGCCUUCUUUCCUCCUAACUUUCAUCACAUCCUUGUAUGAGAAGAUAUAGAUUAAAAUGAGGCUUGGGGAAGAUUCUGGCCAACAAGAAGGUGAAAUAAAGAAGUGCAUUGUUCCCAGCUGCCAGUGAGGUGACCCUAGAUAAAUGGAGUGGGAAGGAUAGGGUAGGGAGACAGCUAGUCAUGGAAUGUGCAUGGAACUGGCUGGCCCGGUUUGGUUUGAGGCCGUACCAGCCUCAAACACAACUGGGCCAGUUUGGCCCGGCACCCCCUCGAAACCUCCCCCCCGCCGUUCGGUCCGGGAUGGGUGUUGCGAGCUUAGUUUUUUUUAAAAAAAUUGUACCAUUUCCUCCCCUUGGGGGAGUUCCUGGAGGCGGCAGGGGGUCUGCAGAGAUUCCCCCUCCUGCCACUGGCCUUCAAAAUCACCCCCUCGGCUGGUUCGGCUGCUCUUUGGUCAGUUUUCAGCCAUCACCCGGAGGCCUGGAGGCCAUUAUGGAGGCCGUGUGCCUGCACACAUGACCCCUGCAUGGCCCAGGAAUUCCCACAAUUACAUUGAUUUCAAUGAUCCAGUAUUCAUGGUUACCUUAUCCGUGGCAAUGUCAGGGAAUGGAACCCCCGUGAAUACAAAGGUUUUCUUGUAUGUAGUUAUGAUGUAUUUAUUUUCCUGGGUAGGAAUCAUGAAUUGUUUCAUUAGGAUGAUGCUGUAAUUGCCACAUGAUCUUGAAACCAGCUAAUAAUUCUUUUUAUGUUGUCAUUAAGUGUUAACUUAAGAAAUGAAACUGCAAGACUUAAGAAACUGCAAGACUUGAUACGUGAAAGGCACGAAGCUGCUUUUGGACCUCUCUGUUUCACUGUCACUUUAUUCAAGCAAUUUCCAGAAAACACAGACUAAAUUGGCUUGAAUCAUAGUAUUUCCAGAGCGUGAAUGAUGAUUAAUUCACUACAUUUAAGCUACUUAAUAUUAUUAUCAACCUGUGUGGGUGGGUGGGGAUUGUAAGUUAUCUUGGUGACAAGCAGAUUACCUAAAAACAACUACUCUUAAUAAGCAAAGAUAGUGCAUGACUUUGUUACCAACACUGCCCUGGAGCAAUUGGCUAGGCACUCCAGCUAUGUUUUGGGGUUAAAGUGGGAAAAUUAGCUCAGACUGGGGGUACAGUUCUGACACAGUAGCAGUUCUGAUGUAUUGGAAAGAAUAAGGAAAUGUAGGUAUAGUUUCAAGGCUUUACUAAGGGUAAAAAUGGGGAGUUACAGAAGGCAAAAAGAGAGUUUGGUUAGGCAGUUCAAUAAUUUGGCUAGUGUUCUGAAUGAGAGUCUUGGUUAAUUAAUUAAAUAUUGCAAUAAUUUGGCUAAGGUCCUGAAUAAGAACCUGCUUAGAGGCUUGCAAUAAAAAGUGCAUGGAGGGCAAGGAGGGAAGCAGGGGAGAAGUGACAAGAGAGCUUAGAGAGAGGUGAGAUGUUAGUAUUACCUAUCUUUCCUAGGCAUGCUGGUUGUGCGAUGGCCAGGCAAAGGUGCCUCCUCAGGGGUGAAGCAGAAGAAGAAAGAGAGGCAGCAGUCACAGCUCACAGUAUGUGAGAGACAACAGGAUUGCGAGAUCCUAACAGAGUCUGGGGUUCUCUACAGCUCUGAGCCAUGUGGCUCAUGUAGGGCUAAUAUACUGCCAAAUGUGCCCUGAGGCAACUAUUGAUUCAAUCAGGUGUCCAUCCCACCCUGUGGGGCAAGGAGAUCCUUUGCAAAACAAGAGUGUCAAUUGCUAGAUGGACUUAGGCAAUUUAGGUGGGUCCUUCUGGACAAAAGGUGAGAGUAAGCUAUGCAAAUUUGGCUGCAUAAGGAUAAUAAGGUAAUGUUUGCUUACAAUCUCAAAGACUGCAGUUUCUCCAAGUGCAAAAAUAUACAUCUUUUAUUUGUUUAUGCAGUUCCUCCCUUAUCUGCACUAGCCAAAUCAUCAGCUUUAAUGGGGUGAGCAACGGCCAUUUCUGUGCUACUUCUGAGGGGCAUUCCAAUGGUUAUCUCCAAGCAAGAGUGUCUCCUCCCUUAGCAAUUGGUUUUUGAUGGGGGUUAUCCAGCUAGUUCUUCUCAUUAGGGAGGGGCAGCUACAUUUUGUUUCAGUGUGCAGACUCUUUAACCUGAAGGCACGCUGCCAACCUCAGCUUGAGCUUAAUGACCAGCUCAUGCCAGCUCACGUGGUGAAAAGUUCAUGGGAACUAUGAUCUCAUGCUGUUCUUACAUCUAGUGGGGUGCUCCUUGUGCUACCCCCAAACAUGGCUUUCUGGCAACACCUGCAGGGCCAGAAUGUUGCUGCCUCUUAAAAUCCUUUGUAUCUCCAGCUUAGUGAGUAUGACUCUUUCACUCGUCAGUGUCACUGCUGCAGUACUUGGGUUUGGUCCAGUGGCUGCAGCCUUUACUUCUGACCAUAAUGGUUGCUAUCCUGCAACUUGGAUUUCUUCUCGCCGUGCUACUUAACUCCUGGUUCACCUCACAAGGCCAUACCCUCUGUCGAUGGGCUCCCAAACCUACCUGGAACCUCACACAUACCGGCUGUAUAAGUGAUGAGAAAGGAACUCUUGCUUCUCUCACAUUCUCCACCACAGAAUUUCAUUCUGUUUCCAGAAUGGUGAGACAUUCCAGAUAGGCUUGAGAGUUUGUUUCCUUUGGAUGAGAAAGCAUGGGAGAUUUAAGGAGUCUUUGUUAAUUUGCUUUAUUUACAAAUAUAGCAGCGGAACAUAUUGAAAGUAAAUUAACAGUCUUAUAGUAGGCAGCAAAUCUACUAACUCUGCAGCAGAGGAAGCCUCUGCAUUUUAAAGGGCUUCCCCUUAAUCUAGCUUGCAGCCUUUUGCCUUUUUGGGACAAACUGCUUGUGACAUUUAGCAUGUCCUUGACUAGUUGGGAGUUUAUUUUAAAGUAAAAAUAGCAAUUUUGUGGGUGCCUGAUUCCGUCUCUGAAAAUCUUCCCCCAAAGGGUGGAGGAGCAAAUGACACCUU
Hemicordylus capensis (graceful crag lizard) is the source of this 5112-nucleotide long non-coding RNA. RefSeq lists it as uncharacterized. Lineage: Eukaryota; Metazoa; Chordata; Lepidosauria; Squamata; Cordylidae. The transcript has 4 exons. The record is from RefSeq and is a predicted model, not a curated record.